Molecule: ribosomal RNA, 252 nt
Filed under: uncultured bacterium
Lineage: Bacteria
Description: partial 16S ribosomal RNA
Rfam family: Bacterial small subunit ribosomal RNA
Source: RNAcentral
UACAGAGGUCCCAAGCGUUGUUCGGAUUCACUGGGCGUAAAGGGUGCGUAGGCGGUCGGGUAAGUCUGAUGUGAAAUCUCACAGCUUAACUGUGAAACUGCAUUGGAUACUAUUCGGCUUGAGAGUUGGAGGGGGACUGGAAUUCUCGGUGUAGCAGUGAAAUGCGUAGAUAUCGGUAGGAACACCAGUGGCGAAGGCGGUCUCCUGGGGCAUUCUUGACGCUGAGGCGCGAAAGCUGGGGGAGCGAACGGG